UGCUCCUGAUGUGAGAAGUAGCUGGG
RNAcentral lists this non-coding RNA (26 nucleotides) under Mus musculus (house mouse). Lineage: Eukaryota; Metazoa; Chordata; Mammalia; Rodentia; Muridae. The record is from RNAcentral.